RNAcentral lists this ribosomal RNA (623 nucleotides) under uncultured Bacteroidota bacterium. Its description in RNAcentral is "bacterial SSU rRNA". It matches the Rfam family "Bacterial small subunit ribosomal RNA", at positions 355 to 975 of the family's 1533-position model. The record is from RNAcentral. Lineage: Bacteria; Pseudomonadati; Bacteroidota.
UGAGGAAUAUUGGACAAUGGGCGAGAGCCUGAUCCAGCCAUGCCGCGUGCAGGAAGACUGCCCUAUGGGUUGUAAACUGCUUUUAUACAGGAAGAAUAAGCCUUACGUGUAAGGUGAUGACGGUACUGUAAGAAUAAGGACCGGCUAACUCCGUGCCAGCAGCCGCGGUAAUACGGAGGGUCCGAGCGUUAUCCGGAAUUAUUGGGUUUAAAGGGUCCGUAGGCGGAUGAUUAAGUCAGGGGUGAAAGUUUGCAGCUCAACUGUAAAAUUGCCUUUGAUACUGGUUAUCUUGAGUUGUAUUGAAGUAGGCGGAAUAUGUAGUGUAGCGGUGAAAUGCAUAGAUAUUACAUAGAACACCAAUUGCGAAGGCAGCUUACUAAGUACUAACUGACGCUGAUGGACGAAAGCGUGGGUAGCGAACAGGAUUAGAUACCCUGGUAGUCCACGCCGUAAACGAUGGAUACUAGCUGUUCGGGGCCUUGAGCUCUGAGCGGCUAAGCGAAAGUGAUAAGUAUCCCACCUGGGGAGUACGUUCGCAAGAAUGAAACUCAAAGGAAUUGACGGGGGCCCGCACAAGCGGUGGAGCAUGUGGUUUAAUUCGAUGAUACGCGAGGAACCUUACC